RNAcentral lists this ribosomal RNA (2833 nucleotides) under human gut metagenome. Its description in RNAcentral is "bacterial LSU rRNA". It matches the Rfam family "Bacterial large subunit ribosomal RNA". The record is from RNAcentral.
UCAAGCGAACAAGGGCGCAGGGCGAAUGCCUUGGCACUGGGAGCCGAUGAAAGACGUGAUAAGCUGCGAUAAGCUUCGGGGAGCUGCAAAUAAGCAUUGAUCCGGAGAUUUCUGAAUGAGGAAACUCACCUGGGUUCAUACUCAGGUACAAUACACUGAAAUUCAAAAUAGGUGUAUUGAGGGAACCGCCUGAACUGAAACAUCUAAGUAGGGCGAGGAAGAGACAUCAAACGAGAUUCCGUAAGUAGUGGCGAGCGAACGCGGAAGAGGGCAAACCGAGAGUAGAAAUACUUUCGGGGUACGGACUGCUUUUAAGACUCAAUCUGUUAACCGAACGGCAUGGGAAGGCCGGUCAGAGAGUGUGAGAACCACGUAGGUGAAAACGGAAAGAGCUGCGCAGGAUCCAGAGUACGGCCAGACACGUGAAACCUGGUCGGAAUACGGGGGGACCACCCUCCAACCCUAAAUACUACCCAGUGACCGAUAGCGUAUAGUACUGUGAAGGAAAGGUGAAAAGCACCCCGGGAGGGGAGUGAAAUAGAACCUGAAACCCUGUGCCUACAAGCACCUAGAGCGCGUCAAAGCGUGAUAGGGUACUUUUUGUAGAACGGUCCGGCGAGCGAUUGUAUGCAGCAAGGUUAAGGACUUAAGGUCUGGAGCCGAAGCGAAAGCGAGUUUGAAAAGGGCGUUAAGUUGCAUAUAAUGGGCCCGAAACCGGGUGACCUACCCAUGGUCAGGUUGAAGUGGAAGUAAAAUUCCAUGGAGGACCGAACCGACCUCCGUUGAAAAGGCGGCGGAUGAACUGUGGGUAGCGGAGAAAUUCCAAUCGAACCCGGAGAUAGCUGGUUCUCCCCGAAAUAGUUUUAGGACUAGCCUCAAGUUAGAUACCUGGAGGUAAAGCACUGAAUAGCCUAGCGGCCGAGAGGUUAGCGAAGCUUAUCAAACUCAGAAUGCCAGAGUAUUGAUGCUUGGGAGUCAGACAGUGUCAGAUAAAUGUCAUUGUCAAAAGGGAAACAGCCCAGAUCUACAGCUAAGGUCCCAAAGUCAGGUUAAGUGGAAAACGAUGUGAAGAUACGCAGACAACCAGGAUGUUGGCUCAGAAGCAGCCACUCAUUCAAAGAGUGCGUAAUAGCUCACUGGUCGAGCGUCUUUGCGCGGAGAAUUUAACGGGGCUAAACCUGACACCGAAGCUUAGGCAAUACAGCAAUGUAUUGGGUAGGGGAGCGUUGUAUACGCGGAGAAACAGUAGCGCAAGCGGCUGUGGAGUGUAUAGAAGUGAGAAUGCCGGAAUGAGUAGCGCGAAUGCAGUGAGAAUCUGCAUGGCCGAAAGCCUCAGGUUUCUGGAGGAAGGUUCGUCCGCUCCAGGUUAGUCGGGAGCUAAGGUGAGGCCGGAAGGCGUAGCCGAUGCACAGACGGUAGAGAUUCCGUCACCACCAAAAGAGUUAAGCACAGGGACACAUAUGAAGUCUCAGAGCCGGGUGUUGGUUCCGGUAGAGAUCGAGGGAAAUUAGUACCGAAGUCUGAGAUGGAAGAUGGCGAGAAAAGCUGUGUGUAUUUCUGAGGUGCCCGUACCGCAAACCGACACAGGUAGGUAGGAAGAAGAUUCUAAGGCCAACGGGAGAAGGGUUGUUAAGGAACUCGGCAAAUUGACCCCGUAACUUCGGGAGAAGGGGUGCUCCAGAGAUGGAGCCGCAGAGAAUCGGCCCAAGCAACUGUUUACCAAAAACACAGGUUUGUGCUAAAUCGAAAGAUGACGUAUACGAGCUGACGCCUGCCCGGUGCUGGAAGGUUAAGAGGAGAUGUGCAAGCAUUGAAUCGAAGCCCCAGUGAACGGCGGCCGUAACUAUAACGGUCCUAAGGUAGCGAAAUUCCUUGUCAGGUAAGUUCUGACCCGCAUGAAAGGCGUAAUGAUUUGGGCACUGUCUCAACAGCCCGCCCGGCGAAAUUGUAGUACCGGUGAAGAUGCCGGUUACCCGCGACAAGACGGAAAGACCCCAUGGAGCUUUACUGUAGCCUAAUAUUGGGUUUCGAUGUUGCAUGCACAGGAUAGAUGGGACUCUUGGAAACCAAGGCUUUGGCUUUGGCGGAGAGGCCGUUGGGAUACCAUCCUUGCGAUAUUGGAAUUCUAACCUGCGGCUCUGAAUCGAGUCGGGGGACAUUGUUAGGUGGGCAGUUUGACUGGGGCGGUCGCCUCCUAAAGAGUAACGGAGGCGUUCAAAGGUUCGCUCAGCUUGAACGGAAAUCAAGCAAAAGAGUGCAAACGCAGAAGCGAGCCUAACUGCGAGACUGACGGGUCGAGCAGUAACGAAAGUUGGAGUUAGUGAUCCGGUGGUAUGUGAGUGGAAAUGCCAUCGCUCAACGGAUAAAAGUUACCCUGGGGAUAACAGGCUGAUCUCCCCCAAGAGUCCACAUCGACGGGGAGGUUUGGCACCUCGAUGUCGGCUCAUCGCAUCCUGGGGCUGUAUUCGGUCCCAAGGGUUUGGCUGUUCGCCAAUUAAAGCGGUACGCGAGCUGGGUUCAGAACGUCGUGAGACAGUUCGGUCCCUAUCUGUCGUGGGCGCAGGAUAUUUGAUGGGAGCUGUCCCUAGUACGAGAGGACCGGGACGGACGUACCUCUGGCGCACCAGUUGUUCCGCCAGGAGCAUAGCUGGGCAACUACGUACGGAUCGGAUAAACGCUGAAAGCAUCUAAGCGUGAAGCCGACCCAAAGAUAAGAUAUCCCACUGAUUUGAUCAGGUAAGAUCCCUUGUAGACUACGAGGUUGAUAGGCACGAUGUGUAAGUGGAGUGAUCCAUUCAGCAAGUGUGUACUAAUAGAUCGAGGGCUUGACCAC